UUCGCAAUGCCCGAAAGGGUGACGAUACGACGCCGCGUGAGCGAAGAAGGCCCUAGGGUUGUAAAGCUCUGUCGAGGGUUAUGAAAUAUAGAUGGGUUAAUACCCCAUUUAUUUGACAAAAGCCCAAAAGGAAGCCACGGCUAACUCUGUGCCAGCAGCCGCGGUAAUACAGAGGUGGCGAGCGUUGUUCGGUAUUAUUGGGCGUAAAGAGCACGUAGGUGGUUUUGUAAGUCAGGUGUGAAAGCCUUCUGUUCAAAGGAAGAACGGCAUCUGAAACUGCAGAUCUUGAGUGUAGGAGGGGAGAGUGGAACUUCUGGUGGAGCGGUGAAAUGCGUAGAUAUCAGAAGGAACGUCGGCGGCGAAAGCGACUCUCUGGCCUAUUACUGACACUGAGUGUGCGAAAGUUAGGGGAGCAAACGGGAUUAGAUGCCCCGGUAGUCCUAACCGUAAACGAUGGGCACUAAGUAGAGGGGUUUU
This 477-nucleotide ribosomal RNA is filed under the name Candidatus Scalindua wagneri. RNAcentral describes it as "bacterial SSU rRNA". It matches the Rfam family "Bacterial small subunit ribosomal RNA", at positions 365 to 832 of the family's 1533-position model. Lineage: Bacteria; Pseudomonadati; Planctomycetota; Candidatus Brocadiia; Candidatus Brocadiales; Candidatus Scalinduaceae. The record is from RNAcentral.